This 253-nucleotide ribosomal RNA is filed under the name uncultured bacterium. Its description in RNAcentral is "partial 16S ribosomal RNA". It matches the Rfam family "Bacterial small subunit ribosomal RNA", at positions 524 to 776 of the family's 1533-position model. The record is from RNAcentral.
UACGUAGGGUGCAAGCGUUAAUCGGAAUUACUGGGCGUAAAGCGUGCGCAGGCGGUUUUUUAAGCCAGAUGGGAAAUCCCCGAGCUUAACUUGGGAACUGCAUUUGGGACUGGAAGGCUAGAGUAUGGCAGAGGGGGGUGGAAUUCCACGUGUAGCAGUGAAAUGCGUAGAGAUGUGGAGGAACACCGAUGGCGAAGGCAGCCCCCUGGGCCUAUACUGACGCUCAUGCACGAAAGCGUGGGGAGCAAACAGG